This 405-nucleotide ribosomal RNA is filed under the name uncultured bacterium. RNAcentral's name for it is "bacterial SSU rRNA". It matches the Rfam family "Bacterial small subunit ribosomal RNA", at positions 355 to 777 of the family's 1533-position model. The record is from RNAcentral.
UGGGGAAUAUUGCGCAAUGGGCGAAAGCCUGACGCAGCGACGCCGCGUGCGGGAAGGAGGCCCUCGGGCCGUAAACCGCUUUCAGCGGGGACGAUCGUGACUGUACCCGCAGAAGAAGCCCCGGCUAACUACGUGCCAGCAGCCGCGGUAAUACGUAGGGGGCGAGCGUUGUCCGGAUUCAUUGGGCGUAAAGCGCGCGUAGGCGGCCCGGCAGGUCGGGGGUGAAAACACGGGGCCCAACCCCGUGCCUGCCCCCGAAACCGCCGGGCUCGAGUCCCGCAGGGGAUGGCGGAACUCCCGGUGUAGCGGUGGAAUGCGCAGAUAUCGGGAGGAACACCGGUGGCGAAGGCGGCCAUCUGGGCGGGCACUGACGCUGAGGCGCGAGAGCCGGGGGAGCGAACAGGA